This 936-nucleotide ribosomal RNA is filed under the name uncultured bacterium. RNAcentral describes it as "bacterial SSU rRNA". It matches the Rfam family "Bacterial small subunit ribosomal RNA", at positions 8 to 916 of the family's 1533-position model. The record is from RNAcentral.
AGAGUUUGAUCAUGGCUCAGAACGAACGCUGGCGGCGUGGAUAAGACAUGCAAGUCGAACGCUAAUUACCGGGUAGCAAUAUUCGGUAGUUGGAGUGGCGCAAGGGUGCGUAACACGUGGGUAAUUUGCCAAGAAGUUGGGGAUAACUCGCUGAAAGGCGAGCUAAUACCGAAUGUGAAUUUUAGAAGGCAUCUUUCGAAAUUCAAAGUUGGGGACCGUAAGGCCUGACGCUUCUUGAUAAGCCCGCGGCCUAUCAGCUAGUUGGUGAGGUAACGGCUCACCAAGGCUAAGACGGGUAGCUGGUCUGAGAGGACGACCAGCCACACUGGAACUGAGACACGGUCCAGACACCUACGGGUGGCAGCAGUCGAGAAUUUUUCUCAAUGGGCGCAAGCCUGAAGGAGCGACGCCGCGUGGGGGAUGAAGGGCUUCGGCCCGUAAACCCCUGUCAUUUGCGAACAAUUCGAUUCACCUAACACGUGAAGCGUUGAUAGUAGCGAAAGAGGAAGGGACGGCUAACUCUGUGCCAGCAGCCGCGGUAAUACAGAGGUCCCAAGCGUUGUUCGGAUUCACUGGGCGUAAAGGGUGCGUAGUGGCGGGGUCAAGUUUGAUGUGAAAUCUCCGAGCUCAACUCGGAAAUGGCAUUGAAUACUAUCUCGCUUGAGGGUCGGAGGGGAGACUGGAAUUCUCGGUGUAGCAGUGAAAUGCGUAGAUAUCGAGAGGAACACCAGUGGCGAAGGCGAGUCUCUGGACGACUCCUGACACUGAGGCACGAAAGCUAGGGGAGCAAACAGGAUUAGAUACCCUGGUAGUCCUAGCUGUAAACGGUGCACAUUUGCUGUGAACGGAUUCGACCCCGUUCGUGGCGAAGCUAACGCGUUAAAUGUGCCGCCUGGGAAGUACGGUCGCAAGAUUAAAACUCAAAUGAAUUGACGG